This 324-nucleotide ribosomal RNA is filed under the name uncultured Streptococcus sp. RNAcentral describes it as "bacterial SSU rRNA". It matches the Rfam family "Bacterial small subunit ribosomal RNA", at positions 28 to 334 of the family's 1533-position model. Lineage: Bacteria; Bacillati; Bacillota; Bacilli; Lactobacillales; Streptococcaceae. The record is from RNAcentral.
GACGAACGCUGGCGGCGUGCCUAAUACAUGCAAGUAGAACGCACAGGAUGCACCGUAGUUUACUACACCGUAUUCUGUGAGUUGCGAACGGGUGAGUAACGCGUAGGUAACCUGCCUGGUAGCGGGGGAUAACUAUUGGAAACGAUAGCUAAUACCGCAUAAGAACAUUUACUGCAUGGUAGAUGUUUAAAAGGUGCAAAUGCAUCACUACCAGAUGGACCUGCGUUGUAUUAGCUAGUAGGUGAGGUAACGGCUCACCUAGGCGACGAUACAUAGCCGACCUGAGAGGGUGAUCGGCCACACUGGGACUGAGACACGGCCCAG